UACGUAGGUGGCAAGCGUUGUCCGGAUUUACUGGGCGUAAAGAGCGCGCAGGCGGUCCGAUCAGUCGAAUGUGAAAGCCCCCGGCUCAACUGGGGAGGGUCAUUCGAUACUGUCGGACUCGAAGGCAGGAGAGGGAAGCGGAAUUCCCGGUGUAGUGGUGAAAUGCGUAGAUAUCGGGAGGAACACCAGUGGCGAAGGCGGCUUCCUGGCCUGUUCUUGACGCUGAGGCGCGAAAGCUAGGGAGCAAACGGG
This 252-nucleotide ribosomal RNA is filed under the name uncultured bacterium. Its description in RNAcentral is "partial 16S ribosomal RNA". It matches the Rfam family "Bacterial small subunit ribosomal RNA", at positions 524 to 776 of the family's 1533-position model. The record is from RNAcentral.